This 2132-nucleotide ribosomal RNA is filed under the name Salmonella enterica subsp. diarizonae. RNAcentral describes it as "partial 23S ribosomal RNA". It matches the Rfam family "Bacterial large subunit ribosomal RNA", at positions 911 to 2925 of the family's 2925-position model. The record is from RNAcentral. Lineage: Bacteria; Pseudomonadati; Pseudomonadota; Gammaproteobacteria; Enterobacterales; Enterobacteriaceae.
UGUUUCGGCUAGGGGGCCAUCCCGGCUUACCAACCCGAUGCAAACUGCGAAUACCGGAGAAUGUUAUCACGGGAGACACACGGCGGGUGCUAACGUCCGUCGUGAAGAGGGAAACAACCCAGACCGCCAGCUAAGGUCCCAAAGUCAUGGUUAAGUGGGAAACGAUGUGGGAAGGCCCAGACAGCCAGGAUGUUGGCUUAGAAGCAGCCAUCAUUUAAAGAAAGCGUAAUAGCUCACUGGUCGAGUCGGCCUGCGCGGAAGAUGUAACGGGGCUAAACCAUGCACCGAAGCUGCGGCAGCGAACGUAUCACUUAAAACGAUUCAGAAGCUUACGAUUGACGGAGCGAAGCGACGUCAAAGCGUAUACAAAGUCGAGUCGGUUUAAGGAUACGUUCGUUGGGUAGGGGAGCGUUCUGUAAGCCGUUGAAGGUGUCCUGUGAGGGGUGCUGGAGGUAUCAGAAGUGCGAAUGCUGACAUAAGUAACGAUAAAGCGGGUGAAAAGCCCGCUCGCCGGAAGACCAAGGGUUCCUGUCCAACGUUAAUCGGGGCAGGGUGAGUCGACCCCUAAGGCGAGGCCGAAAGGCGUAGUCGAUGGGAAACGGGUUAAUAUUCCCGUACUUGGUGUUACUGCGAAGGGGGGACGGAGAAGGCUAUGUUGGCCGGGCGACGGUUGUCCCGGUUUAAGCGUGUAGGUGUGUGUUCCAGGUAAAUCCGGUUCACUUUAACACUGAGGCGUGAUGACGAGGCACCACGGUGCUGAAGCAACAAAUGCCCUGCUUCCAGGAAAAGCCUCUAAGCAUCAGGUAACAUCAAAUCGUACCCCAAACCGACACAGGUGGUCAGGUAGAGAAUACCAAGGCGCUUGAGAGAACUCGGGUGAAGGAACUAGGCAAAAUGGUGCCGUAACUUCGGGAGAAGGCACGCUGACACGUAGGUGAAGUGAUUUACUCAUGGAGCUGAAGUCAGUCGAAGAUACCAGCUGGCUGCAACUGUUUAUUAAAAACACAGCACUGUGCAAACACGAAAGUGGACGUAUACGGUGUGACGCCUGCCCGGUGCCGGAAGGUUAAUUGAUGGGGUCAGCGCAAGCGAAGCUCCUGAUCGAAGCCCCGGUAAACGGCGGCCGUAACUAUAACGGUCCUAAGGUAGCGAAAUUCCUUGUCGGGUAAGUUCCGACCUGCACGAAUGGCGUAAUGAUGGCCAGGCUGUCUCCACCCGAGACUCAGUGAAAUUGAACUCGCUGUGAAGAUGCAGUGUACCCGCGGCAAGACGGAAAGACCCCGUGAACCUUUACUAUAGCUUGACACUGAACAUUGAGCCUUGAUGUGUAGGAUAGGUGGGAGGCUUUGAAGCGUGGACGCCAGUCUGCGUGGAGCCGACCUUGAAAUACCACCCUUUAAUGUUUGAUGUUCUAACGUGGACCCGUAAUCCGGGUUGCGGACAGUGUCUGGUGGGUAGUUUGACUGGGGCGGUCUCCUCCUAAAGAGUAACGGAGGAGCACGAAGGUUGGCUAAUCCUGGUCGGACAUCAGGAGGUUAGUGCAAUGGCAUAAGCCAGCUUGACUGCGAGCGUGACGGCGCGAGCAGGUGCGAAAGCAGGUCAUAGUGAUCCGGUGGUUCUGAAUGGAAGGGCCAUCGCUCAACGGAUAAAAGGUACUCCGGGGAUAACAGGCUGAUACCGCCCAAGAGUUCAUAUCGACGGCGGUGUUUGGCACCUCGAUGUCGGCUCAUCACAUCCUGGGGCUGAAGUAGGUCCCAAGGGUAUGGCUGUUCGCCAUUUAAAGUGGUACGCGAGCUGGGUUUAGAACGUCGUGAGACAGUUCGGUCCCUAUCUGCCGUGGGCGCUGGAAGACUGAGGGGGGCUGCUCCUAGUACGAGAGGACCGGAGUGGACGCAUCACUGGUGUUCGGGUUGUCAUGCCAAUGGCACUGCCCGGUAGCUAAAUGCGGAAAAGAUAAGUGCUGAAAGCAUCUAAGCACGAAACUUGCCCCGAGAUGAGUCUUCCCUGAGACCUUGAGUCUCCUGAAGGAACGUUAAAGACGAUGACGUUGAUAGGCCGGGUGUGUAAGCGCAGCGAUGCGUUGAGCUAACCGGUACUAAUGAACCGUGAGGCUUAACCUUACAACGCCGAAG